GUUGAAAUUGGGGUAGUGGUAACCUGGGUCGUUGCCAUUCAUAUAUUCAUCAAUUGUCGACCCGCCCGGAGUUCGAUUCUCCGUUAACG
Amylostereum chailletii is the source of this 89-nucleotide non-coding RNA. The record is from the annotation of a GenBank genome assembly. Lineage: Eukaryota; Fungi; Basidiomycota; Agaricomycetes; Russulales; Stereaceae.